GACGAACGCUGGCGGCGUGCUUAACACAUGCAAGUCGAACGCUGAAGCUCAGCUUUUGUUGGGUGGAUGAGUGGCGAACGGGUGAGUAACACGUGAGUAACCUGCCCCCUUCUUUGGGAUAACGCCCGGAAACGGGUGCUAAUACUGGAUAUUCACUGGUCUUCGCAUGGGGGUUGGUGGAAAGGGUUUUUCUGGUGGGGGAUGGGCUCGCGGCCUAUCAGCUUGUUGGUGGGGUGAUGGCCUACCAAGGCUUUGACGGGUAGCCGGCCUGAGAGGGUGACCGGUCACAUUGGGACUGAGAUACGGCCCAGACUCCUACGGGAGGCAGCAGUGGGGAAGAUUGCACAAUGGGCGCAAGCCUGAUGCAGCGACGCCGCGUGAGGGAUGGAGGCCUUCGGGUUGUGAACCUCUUUCGCUCAUGGUCAAGCCGCAACAAUGGUUGUGGUGAGGGUAGUGGAUAAAGAAGCGCCGGCUAACUACGUG
This 483-nucleotide ribosomal RNA is filed under the name uncultured bacterium. RNAcentral's name for it is "partial 16S ribosomal RNA". It matches the Rfam family "Bacterial small subunit ribosomal RNA", at positions 28 to 507 of the family's 1533-position model. The record is from RNAcentral.